Long non-coding RNA from Sitophilus oryzae (rice weevil), 637 nucleotides. RefSeq lists it as uncharacterized. NCBI's taxonomy places the organism in Eukaryota, Metazoa, Arthropoda, Insecta, Coleoptera, Curculionidae. The record is from RefSeq and is a predicted model, not a curated record. The transcript is spliced from 2 exons.
CAUUUUUUGGAAGUAAACAAAUAUUGAAGAAAGUGUUGUGCCUUCACAGAAUUUAAAUUGGCAUUAGGAAUAGAUUUCCUUGAUUUAGUAAUGAUAUUGCUCAUAGAAAUUGAUAAUGUGAAGAAUAACAAUACAGGAACAUAGAAUAACAAGAAAGAAAUUCUAGCAACAAGUUAGGUUAUGAGAUAAAUUUUAUUUAUAUAGUUUGUUUAAAGAGUUUAGUUUGAAAAAAAGGUAAAACAAUUAUUAUUGUCCAGGUCAUAUUUGAUAACUGUUGUUAAUUGAUAACAUAUUACAGGGACACAGUAAAAAGACAAAACAUUUAGAAAGAGAAAUGUUUGCAAUGGAUAUUAAUAAAUUCUAGCCAAUUUGUACGAUGUACAAUGCAGGCAAUAUUUCUGCCUCCUAACGCACUAUUCGCGUAAAAGAAGAUGUGGGUAUUGUAUUUAUACCUAGAACAGAUUUAUUAUUAGUUGGCUAGUGUGUUAGUAGGAUAGCCAUUGGUAGUUAUAAAGUAUGAAGUCGUCAGGUAUUAAUAAUAGGAAUUGAUCAAAGCUUAUACAUUUAUUGUGAUAUUUAUAUUGUGAAUUUAAGUAGUUAGAGUUUUGGUUGUUUAAUAAACGAAUUAAUGUGCUUA